Molecule: long non-coding RNA, 808 nt
Filed under: Olea europaea (common olive)
Lineage: Eukaryota; Viridiplantae; Streptophyta; Magnoliopsida; Lamiales; Oleaceae
Description: long non-coding RNA (OEUR_LNC004890)
Source: RNAcentral
AAGUUAGAAAAUAUGCCCACUACCCUUUGUAUGUUUCCCACUCACAUAUGAUGAGAGAAAAUACACUCUAAAUUUUGGCAUCAUAGCAGUAUCUUGCUUCACUGGAGAUCCUGUCUUUGUUUGGUCUUUAUUAUUUUCCCUUAAUUCUUGUGUAUUCUUUCUCUUUUUACAUUUUAUGGUUCAAAAAGUGGGAUUUCACAAUAGGGGGCAAUCCUUAUCUUAUUUGAAUCCUUCCCCAAAAGGACUUGAACUUGUAAGGAGGUUAGAACGUUGACCACUAGGGCUAGUGGUUUAACUGUUUAGUAUGAUAUCUUUGGAGUUGAGACGUAUUCAUGGUACAUAUGGUUAUUAGUUAAAUAAGCUUAUUUAUUCGACCUUUAAAUUUCUGAUUUAAGUCAUUCCUUCAAUCAUGCCACCAAGCUAAAUGUCUGUUUAAGAGUAUGUAUUCUUCUUCCUUAAUGGCUUUGGAUUGAGUAAGUGAGAUUGCUUUUAGAUCAAAUACUAUACUUAAAAGAGUGUGAAAAAAGUUCGAACUUUGUUUCUGUUGAAUUGUCUUGGUAUAUAUGCCUUGUGAAAAAUUAACAAUUCGUUUAGGGAAGCGUAUUUGAAGAGAAUGCUGGUUGAUGUCGUUACAUGGUUUUCUUCUAAUAUGGUUCAGUAGUCCUGUUCAAUGUGGAGGAUCAUGAAGCUGAAUACUACCUACUACAUGUUAGAUGAUAUGCUUCUGGAUUGCUUUCUGAGAUGAAGAAAGACAGUGGGGACUCCUUUUAGAUUCUUGUAUGUUUUGCUGAACAUCUUAUGGUCUUUG